This 144-nucleotide small RNA is filed under the name Bacillus andreraoultii. RNAcentral's name for it is "Listeria sRNA rli38". It matches the Rfam family "Listeria sRNA rli38". Lineage: Bacteria; Bacillati; Bacillota; Bacilli; Caryophanales; Bacillaceae. The record is from RNAcentral.
UUGAGUGGGAGUAAGAGGCUAGCUUGAUUUGAAGCAAGAACGCUGAUUUAACAGCAUUUGCCCUAAGCUAAAACGAACAAAUUGAUUAAAAAUAUAGUUCCCUAUCAAAAACCCUACCAAGAAAAAAUUUUGGUAGGGAAUUUU